GACGUAGGGCGCGAGCGUUGUCCGGAAUUAUUGGGCGUAAAGAGCUCGUAGGCGGUUUGUCGCGUCUGCUGUGAAAACUCGGGGCUUAACCCCGGGCCUGCAGUGGGUACGGGCAGACUAGAGUGCGGUAGGGGAGACUGGAAUUCCUGGUGUAGCGGUGAAAUGCGCAGAUAUCUGGAGGGACACCGGUGGCGAAGGCGGGUCUCUGGGCCGUAACUGACGCUGAGGAGCGAAAGCGUGGGGAGCGAACAGG
RNAcentral lists this ribosomal RNA (253 nucleotides) under uncultured bacterium. RNAcentral's name for it is "partial 16S ribosomal RNA". It matches the Rfam family "Bacterial small subunit ribosomal RNA", at positions 524 to 776 of the family's 1533-position model. The record is from RNAcentral.